Pomacea canaliculata is the source of this 702-nucleotide RNA transcript. RefSeq lists it as uncharacterized. Lineage: Eukaryota; Metazoa; Mollusca; Gastropoda; Architaenioglossa; Ampullariidae. The record is from RefSeq and is a predicted model, not a curated record. The transcript has 5 exons.
AUAGUAAUCAUCAUCACAGAGAUGAGUGUCGCACGCUAACUACAGGUGUUAUCUGACGCUGGAGCAACGUCCUGACGUAGACAAUACGAUAGGUACCCGUCAGUAUACAGUCAACUCACUGACAGCCAGACGAACUUUGUUCACUACAAACAGUCAAGCCAUGGUGAGCUUCUUUCGCACCUCGCUGUUCCUGUGUGCUUUUGUUGUCACGUGGGCUUUCCCUCAGAAUGUUUUCCGCAAAUCUGAGUGUCCAGCUAACCAGUGCUCCACCAAAAAUCUUAAAGAUUUCAAAGGGAAGCCGUGCCUGAAGCUGAAUGAGGAGAUUGUUUACAGAUGUCAGAAAUUCAAAUGCGUGAAUAUGAACGCGUCCGGCAGUACACUACAGCCUGGAGAGGAACUCGGGUGCUAUAUCUCUAGGGGCGAUUGUAUUCCUUUCAAAUCUCAGAGGAAUCAGACGGACAGUGAGGGUCAAGAGAGGAUGGAAUGUUUAUGCGACAAACAUAGGGGUGGUUCUUUAAUCAUCUGCGCGUAAGAAUAAAAAUGUUAUUGGGAGGACUGGCACCUUGAAGAACAUUUCAUCUGACCUGAGGUCGCAGGGAACCAGUCGUGGCCUUGUGCCUGACCCGACAUCUGCACUGCCGUGAUUAGAGCAAAGAUUGUUAUGGACAAAGAUUUUCAAAUAAAGAUAAUUUCUGUUUUGUU